RNAcentral lists this ribosomal RNA (468 nucleotides) under uncultured bacterium. RNAcentral describes it as "partial 16S ribosomal RNA". It matches the Rfam family "Bacterial small subunit ribosomal RNA", at positions 28 to 507 of the family's 1533-position model. The record is from RNAcentral.
GACGAACGCUGGCGGCGUGCUUAACACAUGCAAGUCGAACGGAAAGGCCCUGCUUUUGUGGGGUGCUCGAGUGGCGAACGGGUGAGUAACACGUGAGUAACCUGCCCUUGACUUUGGGAUAACUUCAGGAAACUGGGGCUAAUACCGGAUAGGAGCUCCUGCUGCAUGGUGGGGGUUGGAAAGUUUCGGCGGUUGGGGAUGGACUCGCGGCUUAUCAGCUUGUUGGUGGGGUAGUGGCUUACCAAGGCUUUGACGGGUAGCCGGGCUGAGAGGGUGACCGGCCAAAUUGGGACUGGAAUGCGGCCCAGACUCCUACGGGAGGCAGCAGUGGAGAAUAUUGCACAAUGGGCGGAAGCCUGAUGCAGCCACGCCGCGUGCGGGAUGACGGCCUUCGGGUUGUAAACCGCUUUCGCCUGUGACGAAGCGUGAGUGACGGUAAUGGGUAAAGAAGCACCGGCUAACUACGUG